RNAcentral lists this ribosomal RNA (468 nucleotides) under uncultured bacterium. RNAcentral's name for it is "partial 16S ribosomal RNA". It matches the Rfam family "Bacterial small subunit ribosomal RNA", at positions 28 to 507 of the family's 1533-position model. The record is from RNAcentral.
GACGAACGCUGGCGGCGUGCUUAACACAUGCAAGUCGAACGGAAAGGCCCUGCUUUUGUGGGGUGCUCGAGUGGCGAACGGGUGAGUAACACGUGAGUAACCUGCCCUUGACUUUGGUAUAACUUCAGGAAACUGGGGCUAAUACCUGAUAGGAGCUCCUGCUGCAUGGUGGGGGUUGGAAAGUUUCGGCGGUUGGGGAUGGACUCGCGGCUUAUCAGCUUGUUGGUGGGGUAGUGGCUUACCAAGGCUUUGACGGGUAGCCGGCAUGAGAGGGUGAACGGGCACAUUGGGACUGAGAUACGGCCCAGACUCCUACGGGAGGCAGCAGUGGGGAAUAUUGCACAAUGGGCGGAAGCCUGAUGCAGCAACGCCGCGUGCGGGAUGACGGCCUUCGGGUUGUAAACCGCUUUAGCAUGUGACGAAGAGUGAGUGACGGUAAUGGGUAAAGAAGCACCGGCUAACUACGUG